UACGAAGGGAGCUAGCGUUGUUCGGAAUCACUGGGCGUAAAGCGCACGUAGGCGGAUGUGUCAGUCAGGGGUGAAAUCCCGGAGCUCAACUUCGGAACUGCCUUUGAUACAGCACGUCUUGAGUCCGAUAGAGGUGGGUGGAAUUCCUAGUGUAGAGGUGAAAUUCGUAGAUAUUAGGAAGAACACCGGUGGCGAAGGCGGCCCACUGGCUCGACACUGACGCUGAGGUGCGAAAGCGUGGGGAGCAAACAGG
RNAcentral lists this ribosomal RNA (253 nucleotides) under uncultured bacterium. RNAcentral describes it as "partial 16S ribosomal RNA". It matches the Rfam family "Bacterial small subunit ribosomal RNA", at positions 524 to 776 of the family's 1533-position model. The record is from RNAcentral.